Molecule: ribosomal RNA, 253 nt
Filed under: uncultured bacterium
Lineage: Bacteria
Description: partial 16S ribosomal RNA
Rfam family: Bacterial small subunit ribosomal RNA
Source: RNAcentral
UACGAAGGGGGCUAGCGUUGUUCGGAAUUACUGGGCGUAAAGCGCGUGUAGGCGGCUUUGCAAGUCGGAUGUGAAAGCCCACGGCUCAACCGUGGAAGUGCAUCCGAAACUGCAUGGCUCGAGUCUCGGAGAGGAAGGUGGAAUGCUUGGUGUAGAGGUGAAAUUCGUAGAUAUCAAGCAGAACACCUGCGGCGAAGGCGGCCUUCUGGACGAUGACUGACGCUGAGACGCGAAAGCGUGGGGAGCAAACAGG